CAGCUACUCCCUUCGUUCGGAAUUACUUGUCGCAAAAAUAGAUGUAUCUAGACGUAUUUUAGUUCUAGAUACAUUCAUAUUCAAAACAAGUAAUUCCGAACGGAGGAAGUAACUG
Molecule: non-coding RNA, 115 nt
Organism: Triticum urartu
Lineage: Eukaryota; Viridiplantae; Streptophyta; Magnoliopsida; Poales; Poaceae
Source: Rfam